Molecule: ribosomal RNA, 253 nt
Filed under: uncultured bacterium
Lineage: Bacteria
Description: partial 16S ribosomal RNA
Rfam family: Bacterial small subunit ribosomal RNA
Source: RNAcentral
UACGUAGGGUGCGAGCGUUGCCCGGAUUUAUUGGGCGUAAAGGGCGCGUAGGCGGCUCGGCACGUCCGUUGUGAAAUCGCCCGGCUCAACUGGGCGGGGUCAGCGGAUACGGUCGAGCUUGAGCAAGCUAGGGGGCAAUGGAAUUCCCGGUGUAGUGGUGGAAUGCGCAGAUAUCAGGAGGAACACCAAUUGCGAAGGCAGCUCGCUGGGACGUUACUGACGCUGAGACGCGAAAGCGUGGGGAGCAAACAGG